RNAcentral lists this ribosomal RNA (1325 nucleotides) under metagenome. RNAcentral describes it as "bacterial SSU rRNA". It matches the Rfam family "Bacterial small subunit ribosomal RNA", at positions 31 to 1339 of the family's 1533-position model. The record is from RNAcentral.
GAACGCUGGCGGCGUGCCUAAUACAUGCAAGUCGAGCGGACAGAUGGGAGCUUGCUCCCUGAUGUUAGCGGCGGACGGGUGAGUAACACGUGGGUAACCUGCCUGUAAGACUGGGAUAACUCCGGGAAACCGGGGCUAAUACCGGAUGGUUGUUUGAACCGCAUGGUUCAAACAUAAAAGGUGGCUUCGGCUACCACUUACAGAUGGACCCGCGGCGCAUUAGCUAGUUGGUGAGGUAACGGCUCACCAAGGCGACGAUGCGUAGCCGACCUGAGAGGGUGAUCGGCCACACUGGGACUGAGACACGGCCCAGACUCCUACGGGAGGCAGCAGUAGGGAAUCUUCCGCAAUGGACGAAAGUCUGACGGAGCAACGCCGCGUGAGUGAUGAAGGUUUUCGGAUCGUAAAGCUCUGUUGUUAGGGAAGAACAAGUGCCGUUCGAAUAGGGCGGUACCUUGGCGGUACCUAACCAGAAAGCCACGGCUAACUACGUGCCAGCAGCCGCGGUAAUACGUAGGUGGCAAGCGUUGUCCGGAAUUAUUGGGCGUAAAGGGCUCGCAGGCGGUUUCUUAAGUCUGAUGUGAAAGCCCCCGGCUCAACCGGGGAGGGUCAUUGGAAACUGGGGAACUUGAGUGCAGAAGAGGAGAGUGGAAUACCACGUGUAGCGGUGAAAUGCGUAGAGAUGUGGAGGAACACCAGUGGCGAAGGCGACUCUCUGGUCUGUAACUGACGCUGAGGAGCGAAAGCGUGGGGAGCGAACAGGAUUAGAUACCCUGGUAGUCCACGCCGUAAACGAUGAGUGCUAAGUGUUAGGGGGUUUCCGCCCCUUAGUGCUGCAGCUAACGCAUUAAGCACUCCGCCUGGGGAGUACGGUCGCAAGACUGAAACUCAAGGGAAUUGACGGGGGCCCGCACAAGCGGUGGAGCAUGUGGUUUAAUUCGAAGCAACGCGAAGAACCUUACCAGGUCUUGACAUCCUCUGACAAUCCUAGAGAUAGGACGUCCCCUUCGGGGGCAGAGUGACAGGUGGUGCAUGGUUGUCGUCAGCUCGUGUCGUGAGAUGUUGGGUUAAGUCCCGCAACGAGCGCAACCCUUGAUCUUAGUUGCCAGCAUUCAGUUGGGCACUCUAAGGUGACUGCCGGUGACAAACCGGAGGAAGGUGGGGAUGACGUCAAAUCAUCAUGCCCCUUAUGACCUGGGCUACACACGUGCUACAAUGGACAGAACAAAGGGCAGCGAAACCGCGAGGUUAAGCCAAUCCCACAAAUCUGUUCUCAGUUCGGAUCGCAGUCUGCAACUCGACUGCGUGAAGCUGGAAUCGCUAGU